AAGUCGUAACAAGGUUUCCGUAGGUGAACCUGCGGAAGGAUCAUUAUGGAAUAAACCUGGCUAGUCAUUGCUGGCGCUCUCGGGAGCAUGUGCAUGCUUGCCACUUUUAUCUUACCACCUGUGAACCACUUGUAGAUCUGGAGGCAUUUUCACGGACUUUGUCUGUGGUUUUUGGGAUCUGCUGUGCCAUUUUAUUAGGGUCAACUCUUCUGGCCUUCAGGUCUAUGUCUUUACAUCUACUCCAUAGAAUGUAAACAAAAGAAACAAUGGCAGCUUUAUUGCAGCCUAUAAAACUUGUACAACUUUCAGCAACGGAUUUCUUGGCUCUC
This 329-nucleotide unclassified non-coding RNA is filed under the name Bolbitius coprophilus. Its description in RNAcentral is "partial internal transcribed spacer region". The stretch from base 1 to 46 matches the Rfam family "Eukaryotic small subunit ribosomal RNA", at positions 1786 to 1831 of the family's 1831-position model. Lineage: Eukaryota; Fungi; Basidiomycota; Agaricomycetes; Agaricales; Bolbitiaceae. The record is from RNAcentral.